RNAcentral lists this unclassified non-coding RNA (304 nucleotides) under uncultured fungus. RNAcentral's name for it is "partial contains 5.8S ribosomal RNA, internal transcribed spacer 2, and large subunit ribosomal RNA". The stretch from base 1 to 52 matches the Rfam family "5.8S ribosomal RNA", at positions 103 to 154 of the family's 154-position model. Lineage: Eukaryota; Fungi. The record is from RNAcentral.
AACGCACAUUGCGCCCGCCGGUAUUCCGGCGGGCAUGCCUGUUCGAGCGUCAUUUCAACCCCUCGGGCCUUUUGGAAACGAAAAGGCCCGGUGUUGGGGCGCCUGAUCGCCGCUUAGCCGACCUGUUCGGCUCGUCGGAUCAGGGCCCCCAAUUGCAUCGGCGGGCUCGUCGUGACCCUGAACGUAGUAAUUUUUAUUUUCAAAAGAAAAAACGUCGUUCGGUUAAGGUCUCAUCGCUCUCUUGCCGCCAAUUCUUCUUCCACAGGUUGACCUCGGAUCAGGUAGGAAUACCCGCUGAACUUAA